Molecule: ribosomal RNA, 556 nt
Filed under: Bifidobacterium adolescentis
Lineage: Bacteria; Bacillati; Actinomycetota; Actinomycetes; Bifidobacteriales; Bifidobacteriaceae
Description: bacterial SSU rRNA
Rfam family: Bacterial small subunit ribosomal RNA
Source: RNAcentral
CCUCCUGGAAAACGGGUGGUAAUGCCGGAUGCUCCGACAGGACGCAUGUCGUGUCGGGAAAGAUUCUAUCGGUAUGGGAUGGGGUCGCGUCCUAUCAGCUUGAUGGCGGGGUAACGGCCCACCAUGGCUUCGACGGGUAGCCGGCCUGAGAGGGCGACCGGCCACAUUGGGACUGAGAUACGGCCCAGACUCCUACGGGAGGCAGCAGUGGGGAAUAUUGCACAAUGGGCGCAAGCCUGAUGCAGCGACGCCGCGUGCGGGAUGACGGCCUUCGGGUUGUAAACCGCUUUUGACUGGGAGCAAGCCCUUCGGGGUGAGUGUACCUUUCGAAUAAGCACCGGCUAACUACGUGCCAGCAGCCGCGGUAAUACGUAGGGUGCAAGCGUUAUCCGGAAUUAUUGGGCGUAAAGGGCUCGUAGGCGGUUCGUCGCGUCCGGUGUGAAAGUCCAUCGCUUAACGGUGGAUCCGCGCCGGGUACGGGCGGGCUUGAGUGCGGUAGGGGAGACUGGAAUUCCCGGUGUAACGGUGGAAUGUGUAGAUAUCGGAAAGAACACCA